AGAAGGUAUUGAAAGAGUAACACAGAAGAAGGUAUUGAAAAGAGUUACACAGAAGAAGGUAUUGAAAAGAGUAACACAGAAGAAGGUAUUGAAAAGAGUAACACAGAAGAAGGUAUUGAAAAGAGUAACACAGAAGAAGGUAUUGAAAAGAGUAACACAGAAGAAGGUAUUGAAAAGAGUAACACAGAAGAAGGUAUUGAAAAGAGUAACACAGAAGAAGGUAUUGAAAAGAGUAACACAGAAGAAGGUAUUGAAAAGAGUUACACAGAAGAAGGAAUUUGAAAAGAGUAACACAAGAAGAAGGAAUUUGAAGAGAAAUAACACAAGAAGAAGAAAUGUGAAGUAACACCGGAAGGAAAAUGCAGAGAAGUAACACUAGAAAAAUGAAAAUGGAAAUGAAAAGAAUCAUCCACCUUUCGGCCCAAACCAACAUCACAAAAUUAUGGGCGAGUCUCUUCUGGGAGGAAAGCGGCUCGUUCAGACCCAGGAACACCAGAAAGGAUGAUAGAAACAUCAAGAUAAGGCAAACAGAAAAGUCAUCCACCUUUC
This is a long non-coding RNA of Eriocheir sinensis (Chinese mitten crab), 549 nucleotides long. RefSeq lists it as uncharacterized. The record is from RefSeq and is a predicted model, not a curated record. Lineage: Eukaryota; Metazoa; Arthropoda; Malacostraca; Decapoda; Varunidae. The transcript is spliced from 3 exons.